This 497-nucleotide ribosomal RNA is filed under the name uncultured bacterium. RNAcentral's name for it is "partial 16S ribosomal RNA". It matches the Rfam family "Bacterial small subunit ribosomal RNA", at positions 28 to 507 of the family's 1533-position model. The record is from RNAcentral.
GAUGAACGCUGGCGGCGUGCCUAAUACAUGCAAGUCGAGCGAACAGACGAGGAGCUUGCUCCUCUGACGUUAGCGGCGGACGGGUGAGUAACACGUGGAUAACCUACCUAUAAGACUGGGAUAACUUCGGGAAACCGGAGCUAAUACCGGAUAAUAUAUUGAACCGCAUGGUUCAAUAGUGAAAGACGGUUUUGCUGUCACUUAUAGAUGGAUCCGCGCCGCAUUAGCUAGUUGGUAAGGUAACGGCUUACCAAGGCAACGAUGCGUAGCCGACCUGAGAGGGUGAUCGGCCACACGGGAAGUGAGACACGGUCCAGACUCCUACGGGAGGCAGCAGUAGGGAAUCUUCCGCAAUGGGCGAAAGCCUGACGGAGCAACGCCGCGUGAGUGAUGAAGGUCUUCGGAUCGUAAAACUCUGUUAUUAGGGAAGAACAAAUGUGUAAGUAACUAUGCACGUCUUGACGGUACCUAAUCAGAAAGCCACGGCUAACUACGUG